This 807-nucleotide ribosomal RNA is filed under the name uncultured Acidobacteriota bacterium. RNAcentral describes it as "bacterial SSU rRNA". It matches the Rfam family "Bacterial small subunit ribosomal RNA", at positions 8 to 796 of the family's 1533-position model. Lineage: Bacteria; Pseudomonadati; Acidobacteriota. The record is from RNAcentral.
AGAGUUUGAUCCUGGCUCAGGAUGAACGCUAGCGGCGUGCCUCAGACAUGCAAGUCGAACGAGAACCUCCCUUCGGGGAGGGGAAAGUGGCGCACGGGUGAGUAACACGUGGGUAAUUUACCUUUGGGUGGGGAACAACAGCCGGAAACGGCUGCUAGUACCGCAUAAUGCAGCGGCUCGACAUCGAGACAGUUGUUAAAGCGGGGGAUCGUAAGACCUCGCGUCUGAAGAGGAGCCUGCGGCAGAUUAGCUAGUUGGUAAGGUAAUGGCUUACCAAGGCGAUGAUCUGUAGCCGGCCUGAGAGGGCGGUCGGCCACACUGACACUGACAUACGGGUCAGACUCCUACGGGAGGCAGCAGUCGGGAAUUUUGGGCAAUGGGCGAAAGCCUGACCCAGCAACGCCGCGUGAAGGAUGAAAUCCUUCGGGAUGUAAACUUCGCAAGAACGGGAAGAAUAAGUAGGGGACAAUACCCCCUAUGAUGACGGUACUGUUUGUAAGCUCCGGCUAACUCCGUGCCAGCAGCCGCGGUAAUACGGGGGGAGCAAGCGUUGUUCGGAUUUACUGGGCGUAAAGGGCGCGUAGGCGGCCACCGCAAGUCAGUUGUGAAAUCUCUGGGCUUAACCCAGAAAGGUCAACUGAUACUGCGGGGCUAGAGUGCAGAAGGGGCAACUGGAAUUCUCGGUGUAGCGGUGAAAUGCGUAGAUAUCGAGAGGAACACCUGCGGCGAAGGCGGGUUGCUGGGCUGACACUGACGCUGAGGCGCGAAAGCUAGGGGAGCGAACGGGAUUAGAUACCCCCGUAGUCC